UACCUCCCCCAUGCCGCCGGCCCACCUGCCUCCCCCACGCCGCCUGUCCGCCACCCCACAGCCUCGUUCCCCCGCGCCGCCGCGGCGCCAUCGCCUCGAUGCGCCUCCACCUCUCCCACGCCCAGAUCCGCAUCUCCCCGGUAGCCGUCGCCCCUGCUUCACCCCCUUCUUCUCCACCGAUGGAGAGGGGAAAGGUAGAGGGGUAGGCCAAGAACAGUAGAGGAGACGGGGAGACCAGCGACGGGGAGGCGCACAGGAAAGGCUCGCACAGGGCAUCUGGUGGUCGGGGUGAGCCAUGGCGACCGCGCCUGUCUCCCGAUGUUGUACUGCGUACCCGUGACGGCCGGCGAUGAGUGGGGUAUGGAGAAUCUGCUCGUGAUGCAGAGCAGAGAGGAGCUCAGCACCGUCGUCCUUGUUCGCCGGAAGCUCGUGACUGGAUCCAGGCGUCUCGGUGCCCGCGGGAGGAGGCGUGUGCUCCCCCGUGCCCUUCCAAUCGCUGGUUGACUGGCCAUGCAGUUCGGAAAGAUUUUUUCAGAUUUGGCCGUUGAUGUGCAGUUCGCCAGUGAUAGGAGUGCAUCACGGCCGAGCAGCAUGAAGCUCGGUUGCUCGGGCGUGCGGUUCGCCCAGCUUGUUCAUUUUCAAUGUUUGUCCCCUGGCAACGACAAUUUCCCGUUGUGGUAGCCUCCCCUCUCCUCUUGUUCUAGCCAUGCCUCCUGCUGACAGGGUCGACGCAAAUGCUGGCGCGACCACAACAUCUCCAGCGUGGACGACUCCCUUCAGGCAUGUGGUUUGUUUGCAGUCGGCCUGUGGUUCGUUUUGCGGGGUCCUGGCCGUGCCAUUGCAGUGCAUCUGCAUCCCUCGAGCAUUGCACCGCGUGCCCUCAUGCGGUUCAGCCACGGGCAUCCGGCAAUUUUUUUGGCUUCUGCUGUUCUACAGUUUCGUACCCCUGUGUCGAGUGCAGCUCAUUUACUUUUUAGGCUCUUGGCUGUAGUUGGUUAUUUGGAAACGGGAUGGCCCAAACUUCACUUA
Triticum dicoccoides is the source of this 1029-nucleotide long non-coding RNA. RefSeq lists it as uncharacterized. The record is from RefSeq and is a predicted model, not a curated record. The transcript has 2 exons. NCBI's taxonomy places the organism in Eukaryota, Viridiplantae, Streptophyta, Magnoliopsida, Poales, Poaceae.